AGUCGAGCGGAACGAGUUAUCUGAACCUUCGGGGAACGAUAACGGCGUCGAGCGGCGGACGGGUGAGUAAUGCCUAGGAAAUUGCCCUGAUGUGGGGGAUAACCAUUGGAAACGAUGGCUAAUACCGCAUAAUGCCUACGGGCCAAAGAGGGGGACCUUCGGGCCUCUCGCGUCAGGAUAUGCCUAGGUGGGAUUAGCUAGUUGGUGAGGUAAUGGCUCACCAAGGCGACGAUCCCUAGCUGGUCUGAGAGGAUGAUCAGCCACACUGGAACUGAGACACGGUCCAGACUCCUACGGGAGGCAGCAGUGGGGAAUAUUGCACAAUGGGCGCAAGCCUGAUGCAGCCAUGCCGCGUGUGUGAAGAAGGCCUUCGGGUUGUAAAGCACUUUCAGUCGUGAGGAAGGUAGUGUAGUUAAUAGCUGCAUUAUUUGACGUUAGCGACAGAAGAAGCACCGGCUAACUCCGUGCCAGCAGCCGCGGUAAUACGGAGGGUGCGAGCGUUAAUCGGAAUUACUGGGCGUAAAGCGCAUGCAGGUGGUUUGUUAAGUCAGAUGUGAAAGCCCGGGGCUCAACCUCGGAAUAGCAUUUGAAACUGGCAGACUAGAGUACUGUAGAGGGGGGUAGAAUUUCAGGUGUAGCGGUGAAAUGCGUAGAGAUCUGAAGGAAUACCGGUGGCGAAGGCGGCCCCCUGGACAGAUACUGACACUCAGAUGCGAAAGCGUGGGAGCAAACAGGAUUAGAUACCCUGGUAGUCCACGCCGUAAACGAUGUCUACUUGGAGGUUGUGGCCUUGAGCCGUGGCUUUCGGAGCUAACGCGUUAAGUAGACCGCCUGGGGAGUACGGUCGCAAGAUUAAAACUCAAAUGAAUUGACGGGGGCCCGCACAAGCGGUGGAGCAUGUGGUUUAAUUCGAUGCAACGCGAAGAACCUUACCUACUCUUGACAUCCAGAGAACUUUCCAGAGAUGGAUUGGUGCCUUCGGGAACUCUGAGACAGGUGCUGCAUGGCUGUCGUCAGCUCGUGUUGUGAAAUGUUGGGUUAAGUCCCGCAACGAGCGCAACCCUUAUCCUUGUUUGCCAGCGAGUAAUGUCGGGAACUCCAGGGAGACUGCCGGUGAUAAACCGGA
RNAcentral lists this ribosomal RNA (1126 nucleotides) under Vibrio sp. H2A. RNAcentral describes it as "bacterial SSU rRNA". It matches the Rfam family "Bacterial small subunit ribosomal RNA", at positions 60 to 1167 of the family's 1533-position model. Lineage: Bacteria; Pseudomonadati; Pseudomonadota; Gammaproteobacteria; Vibrionales; Vibrionaceae. The record is from RNAcentral.